GUCCUUGUUUUGGCAGCACAUAUAUGAAAAUUGGAAUGAUACAUAGUAGAUUAGUAUGGCCCCUGAGCAAGGAUGACACGCAAAUUUGUGAAGCAUUCCAUAUUUUU
This is a small nuclear RNA of Tachyglossus aculeatus (Australian echidna), 107 nucleotides long. Lineage: Eukaryota; Metazoa; Chordata; Mammalia; Monotremata; Tachyglossidae. The record is from RefSeq and is a predicted model, not a curated record.